UACGGGGGGGGCAAGCGUUGUUCGGAAUUACUGGGCGUAAAGGGCUCGUAGGCGGCCAACUAAGUCAGACGUGAAAUCCCCAGGCUCAACCUGGGAACUGCGUCUGAUACUGGAUGGCUUGAAUCCGGGAGAGGGAUGCAGAAUUCCCGGUGUAGUGGUGAAAUGCGUAGAUAUCGGGAGGAACACCAGUGGCGAAGGCGACUUUCUGGUCUGUAACUGACACUGAGGCGCGAAAGCGUGGGGAGCGAACAGG
RNAcentral lists this ribosomal RNA (253 nucleotides) under uncultured bacterium. RNAcentral's name for it is "partial 16S ribosomal RNA". It matches the Rfam family "Bacterial small subunit ribosomal RNA", at positions 524 to 776 of the family's 1533-position model. The record is from RNAcentral.